UCAUCAUUUUCAUUUUCAUUAUCAUUUUUUCUUCGUGUUGCCUUCUCAAUGGCACCAAACAAAUGAAUGUUUGAAUGUUUUUCUCCCUCGGUUAUCAAUCAUCGUCAGAUGAAAGAUUCAUCUUCUGCACCAUGUCAAACCGAUGUUAAAUUGAUCGCAGAUCCCAUUCCAUAUCAAACCGAUGGUGUUUCGGUGCGUUGAGCGUCGGAUCGGUGCCAACUAUAUCUCCUCUGCUCGUUGAUGAGGGCGGUUUUUCUCGCCGCCAUCCAACGAGGGAGCCUUCGGUUGCAGUCACUGCUUCUUCUUGGAUGGCAACGAGGGUGGUUUGGUGGUUUUAUUGGUAACUGGUUCAUUGGUUGUGUUUUUUUUUCUCGAGAGAGAGGUGAGAAUUGCUAGGGGAGAUGGGUUGCGGUGGUGGUUCGUGGGUUUCAGUGCGUUAAGUGUGGAUCGGUGCCAUCUCCAUCUCCUCUGCGUGUUUAUGAGGGCAGUUUUUCUCGUCGCCAUCCAACGAGGGAUCCAGUCUUUUUGCCUUCCGUUGCUUUCCCUUUUGUUUUCGCACGACUUUCGUCGUUGGUAGAGUUACUAGCGGCGUGGACCUGGAUGGUUGCGUUGGCUUCUGUGAUCGCUUGAGUCUGUCGGAGUUGUCGCAUUUCGUGUUCUUUUUUUUCCCGAUCCUGGCAGCUGGAUCGUUUCGUUGUUGACGGCUAUGCCGUGGUUUGGUGGUUAUGUUGGUAACUGGUUCAAUGGCUAUGUUGGUGUUGGGUGUGCCAAGGCGGAAUUGCGCUGGGCAGUUGGUUUUUUUUUUUUUUUAGGGGGAGAUGAGGAUUGCAAGGGGAGAUGGGUUGCGGUGGCGGUCUGUGGGUUUUGGCUUUGUUGAGUACUGAGGCAUUAAUCUUCCAUUACAAAGAAAAAAAAUAGCAACCGCGACCUGGAGGAAGGGAGAGACAGAAGGAGAUUAAAAUUAUCGACCUUGACUGACUAUGGAAAGGAGCAGGACAUGGGAAUCGAAGCAUUGGAAGCCAUGCUUAUGGAUAUGAUGAAUUUAGAGGUUAGGUUGGCUGGCUGUUCUAUCAUCAUGGUGCCGUGUUUUUUUCUCUUCCCCGGAGUUUGGUAAUGCUUUUAUGCCAUCCUCCUUUAGCUGUGCUGUUUUGGAUUCUUAGCUCGAUCAGUUUUAUUUCCAGUGGGAAAAGGAGGUGAACAGGGAGCUGUGAGUUCUAUCAAGAUCUAUAUAUGGUUUGCUGUGUAUGCUUAAUCUCCCUAAAUUAUUAUUUUAUCUGCUAAAGUUUGCCAUGGAAAUCGAUUCCAACAUGGCAUUAUAAUUGAUAGCAGCGAGCAAAACUUUGACCUCUAACACGUUUAUUUUCUAACAACAUCGAUAGUUCUGUCAUUAAGUUUCAAAGUUUCAAUCUUUUUUAUUUGGUUAAGCUGUCAUCGUGAUUGCCUUAUAAUUAAGUUCCCUGUGUUCUUUUUUCCCCUGGCAGGUGUGGAGUGAUCAGAGUGAAUUUUGGGCUUUUGAGUGAGAAUUCUAUGUUUUUUUUUGUUGAAUUUAGGAUUUUCAAGAGCCAAGAGUUUACUCGACUGAUAUCACAGACUUGCUGAUUAUGGCAUGGACUAUUCUGGACAGAAAUAGCAGACCAUGCCUUCAGGCAAUUCUGAGCUUUUUUUUUUCCAACAGAAAAGAUAGCAAACAAGAUCCGUGGCUGCUGUUGCACCGGGGAAUCCGUUCCUUUUCUUUCUGAGAUUCAUGUUGACAGAUUGUACAAUCAAACACUAAAUGCUUUAUUCAGUAUCUCACAGCCAAGAUUAAAUUCUGCUUUGUGUCCGGUCCAUUGAUCUCACCACUAUGUUCAUCCUUUGUUU
Molecule: long non-coding RNA, 1860 nt
Organism: Populus nigra (black poplar)
Lineage: Eukaryota; Viridiplantae; Streptophyta; Magnoliopsida; Malpighiales; Salicaceae
Exons: 3
Source: RefSeq, a predicted model, not a curated record